AACGAACGCUGGCGGCAUGCCUAACACAUGCCAGUCGAACGAGACCUUCGGGUCUAGUGGCGCACGUGUGCGUAACGCGUGGUAACCUGCCCUUAGGUUCGGAAUCACUCCCCGAAAGGGGUGCUAAUACCGGAUAAUCUCUUCGGACCAAAGAUUUAUCGCCUUGGGAUGGGCCCGCGUUGGAUUAGCUAGUUGGUAGUGUAAAAGCCUACCAAGGCCACGAUGCAUAGCUGGUCGGAGAGGAGGAUCAGCCACACUGGGACUGAGACACGGCCCAGACUGGGACGGGAGGGAGGAGAGGGGAAUAUUGGAGAAGGGGGGAAAGCCUGAUCCAGCAAUGCGGGGUGAGAGAUGAAGGCGGUAGUGUUGUAAAGCUGUUUUAGACGGGAUGAUAAUGACAGUACCGGGAGAAUAAGCACCGGCUAACUCCGUG
This 433-nucleotide ribosomal RNA is filed under the name uncultured bacterium. RNAcentral describes it as "partial 16S ribosomal RNA". It matches the Rfam family "Bacterial small subunit ribosomal RNA", at positions 29 to 507 of the family's 1533-position model. The record is from RNAcentral.